This is a long non-coding RNA of Drosophila sulfurigaster albostrigata, 291 nucleotides long. RefSeq lists it as uncharacterized. The transcript is spliced from 2 exons. The record is from RefSeq and is a predicted model, not a curated record. Lineage: Eukaryota; Metazoa; Arthropoda; Insecta; Diptera; Drosophilidae.
UCGUUUGCUUUGGUGCUGCUUUUAUUUAGCUGCCUCUUGGCUGUAGCUUUUGCUGAGCCUCGCUUGAGCCUCGACUGCGAGGACUGUACCCGAUACCCUUUUGCUGUCCGUGAUUCAGGUGCUGCUGUUCAGACAAUGACAACUGGCGCUGCAGCUUUUGGUCUUCUAUACUAUUCUAUUGGCGCUUUGCUACGCAAUAUGCCGCACUAAGUGUGUAUAAAGAAAUUAAUAAAUAAAUAAAGUGUAAUAAGCACAAAUCAAAAUCGAAUUUAUUCGAAUUGAAUGCAUUUA